GAUGAACGCUGGCGGCGUGCCUAAUACAUGCAAGUCGAGCGAACAGACGAGGAGCUUGCUCCUCUGACGUUAGCGGCGGACGGGUGAGUAACACGUGGAUAACCUACCUAUAAGACUGGGUUAACUUCGGGAAACCGGAGCUAAUACCGGAUAAUAUAUUGAACCGCAUGGUUCAAUAGUGAAAGACGGUUUUGCUGUCACUUAUAGAUGGAUCCGCGCCGCAUUAGCUAGUUGGUAAGGUAACGGCUUACCAAGGCAACGAUGCGUAGCCGACCUGAGAGGGGGAUCGGCCCCCCUGGAACUGGGACACGGUCCAAACUCCUACGGGAGGCAGCGGUAGGGAAUCUUCCGAAAUGGGCGAAAGCUUGACGGACCAACCCCGGGUGGGUGAUGAAGGUCUUCGGAUCGUAAACCUCUUUUAUUGGGGAAAAAAAAAUGGGUAAGUAACUUUGCACGUCUUGACGGUACCAAAUCAGAAAGCCACGGCUAACUACGU
Molecule: ribosomal RNA, 496 nt
Filed under: uncultured bacterium
Lineage: Bacteria
Description: partial 16S ribosomal RNA
Rfam family: Bacterial small subunit ribosomal RNA
Source: RNAcentral